UGCCUGGUGGUCUAAAGGUAGGACGGGAGACUUUGACUCUCUAAGUUCUGGUUCGAGUCCAGGCCGGGCAG
Molecule: transfer RNA, 71 nt
Filed under: Abditibacteriaceae bacterium
Lineage: Bacteria; Pseudomonadati; Abditibacteriota; Abditibacteriia; Abditibacteriales; Abditibacteriaceae
Description: Abitibacteriaceae bacterium (rhizosphere metagenome) tRNA-Gln
Rfam family: tRNA
About the family: Transfer RNA (tRNA) molecules are approximately 80 nucleotides in length.
Source: RNAcentral